Molecule: ribosomal RNA, 484 nt
Filed under: uncultured bacterium
Lineage: Bacteria
Description: partial 16S ribosomal RNA
Rfam family: Bacterial small subunit ribosomal RNA
Source: RNAcentral
AUUGAACGCUGGCGGCAUGCUUUACACAUGCAAGUCGAACGGCAGCGCGGGCUACGGCCUGCCGCCGGAUGGCCAACGGAUGGGUAAGUAAUCGGAACGUGCCCAGUAGUUGGGGAGAGCCCGGCGAAAGCCGGAUUAAGCUCGCAUAGGACCUGAGGGUGAAACCGGGGGUCUAAAAGGCCACGCGGCAUUGGAACGGCCGAUGUAGGAUCAGCUAGUUGGUGGGGUAAAGGCUUACCAAGACGACGAUCCGUAGCUGGUCUGAGAGGACGACCGGCCACACUGGGACUGCGCCACGGCCCAGACUCCUCCGGGAGGCAGCGGUGGGGAAUUUUGGACAAUGGGGGCAAUCCUGCUCCAGCCCUGCCGCUUGCGAGAAGAAGGCCUUCGGGUUGUAAACCGCUUUUGUUCGGGAAGAAAUCCUCUGGGCUAAUACCCCGGGGGGAUGACGGUACCGGCAGAAUAAGCACCGGCUAACUACGUG